RNAcentral lists this ribosomal RNA (189 nucleotides) under uncultured bacterium. RNAcentral describes it as "partial 16S ribosomal RNA". It matches the Rfam family "Bacterial small subunit ribosomal RNA", at positions 164 to 353 of the family's 1533-position model. The record is from RNAcentral.
UAAUACCGCAUAACGUCGCAAGACCAAAGAGGGGAACCUUCGGGCCUCUUGCCAUCGGAUGUGCCCAGAUGGGAUUAGCUAGUAGGUGGGGUAACGGCUCACCUAGGCGACGAUCCCUAGCUGGUCUGAGAGGAUGACCAGCCACACUGGAACUGAGACACGGUCCAGACUCCUACGGGAGGCAGCAUG